Neofelis nebulosa (Clouded leopard) is the source of this 2806-nucleotide long non-coding RNA. RefSeq lists it as uncharacterized. The record is from RefSeq and is a predicted model, not a curated record. The transcript has 5 exons. Lineage: Eukaryota; Metazoa; Chordata; Mammalia; Carnivora; Felidae.
GUUUCGAAGCCCUGGGCAGAGUGGCAGUGCUAUUCUUGGCUGGCAGUCAUGUUGUCAGGCCUUCGUUCGCUGACUUCUCUUUCUGAGUGUGGACAACGUGCCAGAGACGGAUGGCCAGGACAGGCCGUGGUGGUUGGAAUGAAAGAGCUCCCAGCAGCCAGGGUGCAGCGGCAUGAAGCAGUGCACACUUUUUCUCUUACGUAUCCCUUGACGAGUAACGCGCCUGGGCAAAGUUGAAAAUAAAAGAGACAGAAAACAAUGAUGCAGCAUCAAAGAUAUUUAAAAACCACAUCCGGCAGCUGUGACAGAACAUGAAAAGAGUGGAUUAUGAGAAUCUGUGGCAGAUGUUAAUUGUGUAUCUUCCCCCACCCACCUCAAGAGCUGUUCUUCCCCAAAGGACCACCAUUUGGUUCAGGGCAGCCCCAAGGAGAAGGCAUUUUCCAUGAAAAAUCAACACACCAUGUCCUGGGAGAGCUGGGAUCCUACCUGGCACCUUGUGGGAAACACUUCAGGCCCGGAUGAAAGAAGAAGGAAGAGGAGGCCAAAAUGAAGGCAGGAGGAACAGAGGUGAGGACAACCAAACUCUGAAGGAGGUAAGCAACUUGCUUUAGGCCACAGAGCUCCUAAGGAGGUAGAACUCACUUUUUGUCACUAGUUCUUGGAUAUUUCCCUCCUUGUGGCUGCUACCAACCACAAAAAUGACAGGGUUCACAGUUAAGCAAGAGAUCAGAGAAGGGAAAGUGUUUGUUCUUUUACCAUUUUCCAGGCCCUGUGCUUGGAAGGCAUCACCAGAAGGGGACACAAGACAGGCAACUCACUAGUUUCCUGCCCCUCUGGACUCUACCUGUCUCUGUAUUAAUGUUGCAGGAUGGCAUUGGGAGGCCGAAAUAGGAGCGUUCAGUAGAAAGGAGGGGACAAAACUGAGCUUCAACAUGGAGAGGGGGAUAACCAGAGUUUCCAAAAGGGGACGUGAGAUGGAGAGAGCAUGUCUGCCUUACCGUGAAGGAACCUGCAUGCCUGCAGUUCUAAAGCAUCUAACAUUUUUUACUAAGGCAGACAGUAAGUAAUAAUGAGCUGUUCCUUCUUGGAGAGCUGAUUUUUUCCAGGAUCAAAAAAUCCUUGACUGCAAAAAUUACCAUAACUGCUAAUGGUAUGGGAUUCUUUUUGGGGUGAUGAAAAUGUUCCAGAAUUAGACAGUGGUGAUGGUUGCACAACUUUGUGAGUGUACUAGAAACACUGACGUACACGUUUUAAAAGCAUGAAUUUUAGGAUAGACGAAUGUGAUCUUAAUAAAAAAAUCUCACCUAAAACGAUGAUAAUCUCGAACAUCUAUUCAGGGAUAGUGCUACAAACUGUGUUCUGAGUUUUGUGGAUUAUCUUAGUUCAUUUUCCCAACAGCCACAGGGAUACUCUUACUGUUUCCACCUCACAGAGGAACAAAGUGAGGAUUACAGAGACUCAACAACCGGCCUCGCGUCACAUGGUUUUUACCAUCAUGCAGCAGCACCUCUGAGAUCAGCCUGGCUAGAUGUUGAAUGAUUUCCUGUUUGCUCUGUACUGCAGUCACUGGGCUCAGCUCUGGCGUUUUGGGACCUUUGGAUAUUUUGUUCAUUCAGGAUUCUGCACUUGGAUGCUCUAGUUGCCAGGCAAAGGGAUAGAUCUGAGUCGUGGUCCACCCCCCACCACAAUAAAGGACUUUGUUGAAAGCUGGCUCCAUUCCUGGUUUGCUCAAAUGCCAUUUCCUUGGAGCGGGCCUCUUGACUUCCCACUCUCAAUGAAGGGCCUCCCACAAGAGGCUCUUGCUGAACUUUGCAUCUCUUUUUUUAUAGCGCCAUGGCAGUCUGGUGGAGAUUUGAUUAAUAUCUGCCUGCCUCACUGAACUAUAAAGUUCAUGACACCAGGGACCAUGUCUGUUUUGCACACCACUGUGUGCUCAACAAGUAGCCCUGAGCGCACAGUAGGUGCUCAAGUAUCAAGUGAAUGACUGAACACCAGCCCCGAAAGACGACACCUACAAUCUUCACACUUCUGUACUGUCUCCUGAUGUACAGAGUCCCUUUUUUGGAAACUUAUAUAUAAUUUCUCUGGCCUCUGGAUCCAGUGCUAAAAUGGCGUGGGAGCAUUUCAGAGACACUACUGGCUCCUGCCCCUGGAAAGUGACGCACUGGUGGAAAGCUCUGGCUUCGGUUCUAACCUCAGAGACUUCUCUAAAAUGAUUCUUGUGUGCUGCCCUUCUCCAUUCUGACUGGGACUUUGGCUUUCACCUCAUUUCUUGCCUCCAUUAGUCCUUCUGAAUGUUCAUAAUAGCAUUUCCCAUCAACUCCCCCAUGAUCCGAAACAAUUUUACACCUGAAAAUCCAACGCUACAGCUUAAGUGGUGAAACACAUAGGGUGCCAUAAUCCCAGGGUAAAAACAGGCGGAGUAUCCCAGAAACUUCACUGCUUCAGGUUAUGCAAACAAGCGAUAGAGCCAAAGGGACAAACUACUAAGUUCUAAACUCCCGAACGCCUUAGUUUUGUAUAUUUUAGCUUCCCAACCAUGCCCAGCACAGUGCCUGGCACAUAGGAAAAGCUCACUGAAUAUUUGCUGAACAAGAACCUAAAAUUCUUGCUGGAGGACCUCACCAGCUUCCAUAGUGGAUCAGCUGCUUCUCCAAAUCCCACUGAACCUCCCCUCAACUAAACUUUCUAAGCUAUAUCCAUUUCUGAGUUGGAGUGUCCCAAUCCCACAUGUUCCUCACUAAACCCACCAAAACAAUCUCUCUCUCAUUUCUUCCUAUCACUAAUGUUGACACCACCGUUUUUA